This is a long non-coding RNA of Drosophila montana, 713 nucleotides long. RefSeq lists it as uncharacterized. The record is from RefSeq and is a predicted model, not a curated record. The transcript has 2 exons. NCBI's taxonomy places the organism in Eukaryota, Metazoa, Arthropoda, Insecta, Diptera, Drosophilidae.
UUCUUUUUUUUUUCUUUUUUAGGAAACUCUCUUGACGACCAGUGGUGAGAAGAUCGAUAAAAAGAGGAGCCUAAGGUCUUGGAAAGUCAACUGCGUGAAAUCAACGAACGUAAAGCUCAAGCUGACGAAGAAGCUCAAAGCGAACAAGUAAUUCUCGACGUAAUUAAUAAGAAAGCGAAGUUGACACGGCGUCUUAGGAAUUACCAAGUACAGCUCGUGAUUUGAAGAUUUGAUUUUGAAGAGAGAAUUCGUGAUAAUAUAAAUCGAUAUAAAGCAAAGAUAAAACAUUACGAAUUGAUGAAUUUAAACAGCGAGGAAGUAGAAGACAAGCUGUCCUCAUUGCUUGAUAAUCUUAAAACAGAAAUUGAAAAUUUGGAGAGUAUCUUAUAUGUUGUCAAGAAGAUACGCAUUGCAUACCAUACUCGAGCACAACGAUUUCAGCGAUCGCGAUAUCAUUUCUUUACCAUGGUUCAGAUUCAGUUCAAGCAAGCACUUGUGUGUCGCCAAUUUGAAGGCAGUCUGGAGCCGAAUCAUUUUAGUACAAAAAAGGAUUCAUCUGGCUUUAAUUUAGCUAAACUCUCAUUACUGACAACCCAAUUAGGUGUCACAGACACACACACAUAUAUAUAAUCAUAAAUAUUACUAUUAAAUUAUUUUAUCCUUAAUAAAUUUUCCAAAGACUAGCCCACAUAUGUAUGAUGACUGUUCCAAAA